GGGGAUGACACGGUUUCGACGUGGACAUUAUGAGGUGCACGUGAGGCGUGCCGGGCGUCCAUGCCGCUCGUCAAAAAGCGUGGAAACAAUUACCUGCCGAAACGCAGGAACUCGCUCUCGCAGCCUAAUCACUGCUGAGCCGUCUGCUCAUUUGGUGGCUCGUGCCGAAUGAAGCGGGCGUGACCUUCACGAGCUGGCGGCGACGUUACGCCUGGGGCGUCGCCGCGAGAUAGCACUGGGCUGGUAUCCCGGCGGCUUCAGGUCGCUGUUCCGGCAGCCGGGGUACGAGAAACGACGGAAGCGACUACGCACGUAGUCUCCGGCACCGAAGGUUCGCGGACGAGGGUUCGACUCCCUCCAUCUCCAUCA
This is a non-coding RNA of 369 nucleotides. It matches the Rfam family "transfer-messenger RNA". Rfam says of the family: Bacterial tmRNA, also known as 10Sa RNA or SsrA, is named for its dual tRNA and mRNA-like properties. Its role is to liberate the mRNA from a stalled ribosome. The record is from Rfam.